ACGCUGGCGGUAGGCCUAACACAUGCAAGUCGAACGGCAGCACAGUAAGAGCUUGCUCUUACGGGUGGCGAGUGGCGGACGGGUGAGGAAUACAUCGGAAUCUACUUUUUCGUGGGGGAUAACGUAGGGAAACUUACGCUAAUACCGCAUACGACCUACGGGUGAAAGCAGGGGAUCUUCGGACCUUGCGCGAUUGAAUGAGCCGAUGUCGGAUUAGCUAGUUGGCGGGGUAAAGGCCCACCAAGGCGACGAUCCGUAGCUGGUCUGAGAGGAUGAUCAGCCACACUGGAACUGAGACACGGUCCAGACUCCUACGGGAGGCAGCAGUGGGGAAUAUUGGACAAUGGGCGCAAGCCUGAUCCAGCCAUACCGCGUGGGUGAAGAAGGCCUUCGGGUUGUAAAGCCCUUUUGUUGGGAAGGAAAAGCAGCAGGUUAAUACCCCGCUGUUCUGACGGUACCCAAAGAAUAAGCACCGGCUAACUUCGUG
This 487-nucleotide ribosomal RNA is filed under the name uncultured bacterium. Its description in RNAcentral is "partial 16S ribosomal RNA". It matches the Rfam family "Bacterial small subunit ribosomal RNA", at positions 33 to 507 of the family's 1533-position model. The record is from RNAcentral.